AUAUGGAGGAUCCGAGCGUUAUCCGGAUUUAUUGGGUUUAAAGGGUGCGCAGGCGGGAGAUUAAGUCGGCGGUGAAAUUUUGCAGCUCAACUGUAAAAGUGCCUUCGAAACUGGUUUCCUUGAGUGUAGAUGAAGUAGGCGGAAUUUGUGGUGUAGCGGUGAAAUGCAUAGAUAUCACGAGGAACUCCGAUUGCGCAGGCAGCUUACUAAACUACUACUGACGCUCAGGCACGAAGGCGUGGGGAUCAAACAGGAUUAGAUACCCUGGUAGUCCACGCAGUAAACGAUGAUUACUAGCUGUUUGCGAUACAAUGUAAGCGGCUGAGCGAAAGCGUUAAGUAAUCCACCUGGGGAGUACGUUCGCAAGAAUGAAACUCAAAUGAAUUGACGGGG
This 393-nucleotide ribosomal RNA is filed under the name uncultured bacterium. RNAcentral's name for it is "partial 16S ribosomal RNA". It matches the Rfam family "Bacterial small subunit ribosomal RNA", at positions 523 to 918 of the family's 1533-position model. The record is from RNAcentral.